Molecule: ribosomal RNA, 301 nt
Filed under: uncultured bacterium
Lineage: Bacteria
Description: partial 16S ribosomal RNA
Rfam family: Bacterial small subunit ribosomal RNA
Source: RNAcentral
CAGUCGCCGCGGGAAAACGUAGGUGGCAAGCGUUGUCCGGAAUUAUUGGGCGUAAAGGGCUCGCAGGCGGUUUCUUAAGUCUGAUGUGAAAGCCCCCGGCUCAACCGGGGAGGGUCAUUGGAAACUGGGAAACUUGAGUGCAGAAGAGGAGAGUGGAAUUCCACGUGUAGCGGUGAAAUGCGUAGAGAUGUGAGGAACACCAGUGGCGAAGGCGACUCUCUGGUCUGUAACUGACGCUGAGGAGCGAAAGCGAGGGGAGCGAACAGGAUUAGAUACCCGUGUAGUCCCUGUCUCUUAUCUC